ACNGCGGAAAGAUAUUACCGAGUGAGGGCUGCCUCCGGGCGCCCAACCUCCCACCCGUGAAUACCUUACCACUGUUGCUUCGGCGAGGAGCCCCUUCCGGGGGGCGAGUCGCCGGGGACCACAUGAACUUCUUGAUUGUAGAGUUGCGUCUGAGCCUGAAAUAUAAAUCAGUCAAAACUUUCAACAAUGGAUCUCUUGGUUCCGGCAUCGAUGAAGAACGCAGCGAACUGCGAUAAGUAAUGUGAAUUGCAGAAUUCAGUGAAUCAUCGAGUCUUUGAACGCACAUUGCGCCCCCUGGCAUUCCGGGGGGCAUGCCUGUCCGAGCGUCAUUGCUGCCCUUCAAGCCCGGCUUGUGUGUUGGGUCGUCGUCCCCUCCGGGGGACGGGCCCGAAAGGCAGCGGCGGCACCGCGUCCGGUCCUCGAGCGUAUGGGGCUUUGUCACCCGCUCGAUAAGGACCGGCCGGGCGCCAGCCGGCGUCUCCAACCUUUUUUUCUCAGGUUGACCUCGGAUCAGGUAGGGAUACCCGCUGAACUUAAGCAUAUCAAUAAGNCGGAGGAA
Molecule: ribosomal RNA, 559 nt
Filed under: Aspergillus caespitosus
Lineage: Eukaryota; Fungi; Ascomycota; Eurotiomycetes; Eurotiales; Aspergillaceae
Description: eukaryotic LSU rRNA
Rfam family: 5.8S ribosomal RNA (bases 176-329)
Source: RNAcentral